ACUAAACAAACAAGCUUGAUGCUAAUCUGUCUGAUGGUUCUCAACCUGUGUGGGUCAAGACGCCCUGGAGGUUGAAUGAUCCCUUUCACAGGGGUCACCUAAGACCAUCAGGAAACACAAAUAUUUACAUUACGGUUCAUAACAGUAGCAAAACUACAGUAAUGAAGUAGCCACAAAAUAAUUUUAUGGUUGGGGUCACCAGGAUCUGAGAACUGCAUUCAGGGCUCAUAUCACUAGCAAGGCCCGGAAGCACUGCCUUUCUGGAAGUGGGAGCACAGGCCGCUCACAGUGUGUAUGCUGUCUGGGAGUGCCCUUCAUCUCUCCCAGCAUUGCCUUGUUGAGAUGAUUCAUGUACCUUCAACAUCUAAAGUGUAUGUAAGAUCCAGUGCACUUAGUAUGUCACAGAGUUAGGUAACUGUUACCACAACUGAUUUUAGAACAUUUUUAUUACCCACAAAAAAAAAAAAAAAAA
RNAcentral lists this long non-coding RNA (472 nucleotides) under Rattus norvegicus (Norway rat). Its description in RNAcentral is "long non-coding RNA NONRATT003697". The record is from RNAcentral. Lineage: Eukaryota; Metazoa; Chordata; Mammalia; Rodentia; Muridae.